Molecule: ribosomal RNA, 2401 nt
Filed under: Pseudomonas aeruginosa
Lineage: Bacteria; Pseudomonadati; Pseudomonadota; Gammaproteobacteria; Pseudomonadales; Pseudomonadaceae
Description: bacterial LSU rRNA
Rfam family: Bacterial large subunit ribosomal RNA
Source: RNAcentral
ACCAGUACCGUGAGGGAAAGGCGAAAAGAACCCCGGAGAGGGGAGUGAAAUAGAACCUGAAACCGUAUGCGUACAAGCAGUGGGAGCCUACUUGUUAGGUGACUGCGUACCUUUUGUAUAAUGGGUCAGCGACUUAUAUUCAGUGGCAAGCUUAACCGUAUAGGGUAGGCGUAGCGAAAGCGAGUCUUAAUAGGGCGUUUAGUCGCUGGGUAUAGACCCGAAACCGGGCGAUCUAUCCAUGAGCAGGUUGAAGGUUAGGUAACACUGACUGGAGGACCGAACCCACUCCCGUUGAAAAGGUAGGGGAUGACUUGUGGAUCGGAGUGAAAGGCUAAUCAAGCUCGGAGAUAGCUGGUUCUCCUCGAAAGCUAUUUAGGUAGCGCCUCAUGUAUCACUCUGGGGGGUAGAGCACUGUUUCGGCUAGGGGGUCAUCCCGACUUACCAAACCGAUGCAAACUCCGAAUACCCAGAAGUGCCGAGCAUGGGAGACACACGGCGGGUGCUAACGUCCGUCGUGAAAAGGGAAACAACCCAGACCGCCAGCUAAGGUCCCAAAGUUGUGGUUAAGUGGUAAACGAUGUGGGAAGGCUUAGACAGCUAGGAGGUUGGCUUAGAAGCAGCCAUCCUUUAAAGAAAGCGUAAUAGCUCACUAGUCGAGUCGGCCUGCGCGGAAGAUGUAACGGGGCUCAAACCACACACCGAAGCUGCGGGUGUCACGUAAGUGACGCGGUAGAGGAGCGUUCUGUAAGCCUGUGAAGGUGAGUUGAGAAGCUUGCUGGAGGUAUCAGAAGUGCGAAUGCUGACAUGAGUAACGACAAUGGGUGUGAAAAACACCCACGCCGAAAGACCAAGGGUUCCUGCGCAACGUUAAUCGACGCAGGGUUAGUCGGUUCCUAAGGCGAGGCUGAAAAGCGUAGUCGAUGGGAAACAGGUUAAUAUUCCUGUACUUCUGGUUACUGCGAUGGAGGGACGGAGAAGGCUAGGCCAGCUUGGCGUUGGUUGUCCAAGUUUAAGGUGGUAGGCUGAAAUCUUAGGUAAAUCCGGGGUUUCAAGGCCGAGAGCUGAUGACGAGUCGUCUUUUAGAUGACGAAGUGGUUGAUGCCAUGCUUCCAAGAAAAGCUUCUAAGCUUCAGGUAACCAGGAACCGUACCCCAAACCGACACAGGUGGUCGGGUAGAGAAUACCAAGGCGCUUGAGAGAACUCGGGUGAAGGAACUAGGCAAAAUGGCACCGUAACUUCGGGAGAAGGUGCGCCGGCUAGGGUGAAGGAUUUACUCCGUAAGCUCUGGCUGGUCGAAGAUACCAGGCCGCUGCGACUGUUUAUUAAAAACACAGCACUCUGCAAACACGAAAGUGGACGUAUAGGGUGUGACGCCUGCCCGGUGCCGGAAGGUUAAUUGAUGGGGUUAGCGCAAGCGAAGCUCUUGAUCGAAGCCCCGGUAAACGGCGGCCGUAACUAUAACGGUCCUAAGGUAGCGAAAUUCCUUGUCGGGUAAGUUCCGACCUGCACGAAUGGCGUAACGAUGGCGGCGCUGUCUCCACCCGAGACUCAGUGAAAUUGAAAUCGCUGUGAAGAUGCAGUGUAUCCGCGGCUAGACGGAAAGACCCCGUGAACCUUUACUGUAGCUUUGCACUGGACUUUGAGCCUGCUUGUGUAGGAUAGGUGGGAGGCUUUGAAGCGUGGACGCCAGUUCGCGUGGAGCCAUCCUUGAAAUACCACCCUGGCAUGCUUGAGGUUCUAACUCUGGUCCGUGAUCCGGAUCGAGGACAGUGUAUGGUGGGCAGUUUGACUGGGGCGGUCUCCUCCUAAAGAGUAACGGAGGAGUACGAAGGUGCGCUCAGACCGGUCGGAAAUCGGUCGCAGAGUAUAAAGGCAAAAGCGCGCUUGACUGCGAGACAGACACGUCGAGCAGGUACGAAAGUAGGUCUUAGUGAUCCGGUGGUUCUGUAUGGAAGGGCCAUCGCUCAACGGAUAAAAGGUACUCCGGGGAUAACAGGCUGAUACCGCCCAAGAGUUCAUAUCGACGGCGGUGUUUGGCACCUCGAUGUCGGCUCAUCACAUCCUGGGGCUGAAGCCGGUCCCAAGGGUAUGGCUGUUCGCCAUUUAAAGUGGUACGCGAGCUGGGUUUAGAACGUCGUGAGACAGUUCGGUCCCUAUCUGCCGUGGACGUUUGAGAUUUGAGAGGGGCUGCUCCUAGUACGAGAGGACCGGAGUGGACGAACCUCUGGUGUUCCGGUUGUCACGCCAGUGGCAUUGCCGGGUAGCUAUGUUCGGAAAAGAUAACCGCUGAAAGCAUCUAAGCGGGAAACUUGCCUCAAGAUGAGAUCUCACUGGGAACUUGAUUCCCCUGAAGGGCCGUCGAAGACUACGACGUUGAUAGGCUGGGUGUGUAAGCGUUGU